Molecule: long non-coding RNA, 3515 nt
Filed under: Bemisia tabaci
Lineage: Eukaryota; Metazoa; Arthropoda; Insecta; Hemiptera; Aleyrodidae
Description: lncRNA ENSSSA2NGG010753
Source: RNAcentral
AUUGUAACGGGAGUUAGAACAGAAGUACAGCUUAGUUUAGCAGUCGGUACUGUCGAAGAAGGACGAAGUGCAGCUUUUUUUCGGAGGGCUUUUCAUUCGUUGGUGAUCUAUCAUAAAGUGCAUUAGAAAAACUUUUUAGCAAAAAAGUGGCAGGAACAGUGAAUCACAACACACAAUGCUCAGCAAACUUACUAAAUUUUAGCUUUUUGGACCUAAAGUGUAAUUUACAGUUGAUUGAUAAAAUAGUGGCCAAUAAUCAGAAAUAUCAUCAAAUACUGAACGAGGAAUUCUCUGUAUUUGAUUUGGGGACACGAACAAUCAGCAUUGGUUGAUUUCUAAUUCUUAGUGUGAGGGAGGUAUGUUGGCGAUGAUGUUUGAUAAUUGAAAGUUGAUAAUGUUAGACGCAAAGUGAUUCCACCUCUAUUAAGGAUUGUUUCUCGAAUUCUAUAAUCUAAAAAUUGGAAGAAGUGAUUCGGAAUUGAAUAUUUUAUCAUAUAAAUUUGGAAUCAAGGAUACUAAAAAAAAUUUUACUACAAAACUUGAGCGCUCCUAAUUAUUCGUAUUUUCAUGUCACUACUGAAUAUAGUCUUCUGAAACGGGUUUCAACCCGUUGGUUCUAUAAUGAUUCUUUGCGGAGCUUUUCUAUCAACUUGAUAUUUAUAAAAUUAAGUGUCCGACUUGAGGAAGAAGAAAAAGGAUUCUACCAAAGAUGAUCUCCCUCAAAUUGAAGAAUACAUGCCUGCUGUGCAUGGUAAUGGCUGUGAUAACCCAGAGUCAGUCAAUAUCAGAAUCUCCUAUUCCAAAACAAUGGGUCAAUCCGAGUAAACUCGGUAACGAAGUAGGUUCCGGGCAGUCCUCAAAAAGCUCAGAAAAUUCCCUGAGCACAGAAUCUGACCAAAUUUCAUCCUCCGAAUCUUCAAAUGCUCAUCGAUUUACGGCCCUCUUAGCUGAUCUUUCUCGAGAAAAACCGAUUUCACGUCUACGGCUCGAAAAAUCAGCUCGCAGAAGACCAAGGACUCCCAAAACUAGUAAGCUGUCUCUGCCAAUCAGAAGUCAAAGGCUUAAACUGAACGAGUUGGCUGAUCAAGAAAGUCAAGAGUUCUCAAAAAAUACGCGUGAAUCCAAAAAUGGGCCUAUGAAAUACGAUAUUCCUUUGAAAAUCUCGCAGGGUUCUGAUUCAGAAGACGAGAAAGCUCAGCGGUUGAAAAGCUCGAGUCUAGAAGCCAACGAGAUUCCAACCGUUGGAGAGCCUUUGACAAAUUUCUAUCGAAGAUGGGAAGCGACCCCAAAGGCCGAUUCCGAGAGGACCACUGUCAGGAACUAUUUCCUUGAACAGUAUUCGGACAAGAAAACUGAAGGCAAGGUAAUUCCCAUGGAGUUUAACCCUUUACUCUAUAAGAAUGUAGAGAGCUCAGACUUCGGCCUUAAAACUGCGCUUUCAAAGCAGACUUAUGAAAGCCCUGAAACGAGCCCUGAUGCAGGGACCUCACCCACAAGGAUCUUCGCAGAGAAAAUCGAUGAAUUGUGGUCUCAACCUCAGCAUCUAAGUCCCGUUGAGAUAUCAAUGGAAGCAAAGGGUCUAAGACCGCAAUCUCCUGAGAAUCACGAUCAAAACUUGGAGCUGCGGGCAUCGAAUAGUCGCGAUGUUAUGCCAGCAUUGAACACUACGUUAUCAAUCCCUCAGAAAUGAAUCCCCAGCUAAAAGUUCGGUCAAUACACGAAAUUCAGAGGUACAUUCCCGUCGAAAUUCCUCAAACUUUCAAACAUUACCUUCCCAGAUGCCUCUUCAAAAUGUGCAAAAUUCAGGGACCGCUUUCCGAGACCUACUGAACUCUCAAGAGAAAAGUAUACAGAGUUUCGACACUGUAGAUAGCGUAGAGCGAGCGUUCACUCCACGAGGUAUCGGGAUGAAAAGUCAGCCUUUCCCGUUAGACAGGCAGACCUUUUGCUCGUCGAUUUUGAGGCAGGAAGGCACUGACCCACAUGAGGACCCUACGCUCAAACUCCAGCGCUCUAGUCAGUUCAUCCCGUUCUGUCCAGAGGUACAUAACAUCACGGAGAUUUACUCGGAGUUGUGUGAGGACUGGGUGAGUGACGACGAGUUUUUCGAGGAGUUGAAGAAGAAGAAGUGGACAGAGGACAUUCUGAAGGUGCAGGGCCUAUCCAAGAUCCCCACUCUCCAAUCUCAGAACUCCAUUUCAACAAGCAGUUUUUCGCCUCCGUCAUCUGAAGCUGUAAAGCCGCUGUCCGUUCAGACGUGGCAACCAUCGUCUGAAGCUGUAAAGCCGCUAUCUAUUCAGACGUGGCAACCAUCAUCUGAAGUAAAGCCGCUACCCAUCCAGACGUGGCAACCGUCAUCUGUAGUAUCUCACCCGGUCGGAAAUGAAAUCGACGUGAAACCGUUGUCCAACGGAUGGGGUCAGCUCCCAACUAGGAUCAGUGUCAAUGACAUAGCCGGUCUGAAUAACUUUUUCAUCCCCUAGAAGCCCGAACUUACCCCCUGGAUCGUGCGUUCCCGCCAACCAGAACCACUUCAACUACCCUCUCCAGGAGACCAAUACUCUCUCUUUUAAGAGCAUACCGCAACCACCAAAAGGGUUCAAACAAUUCCAGGAGAUGAAGACUCUCUCUCUUAAUAGUAUACCCCAACCACCAAAAGGGUUCGAACAAGUUCUUAGUAACUGCGACAACAUCAUCAACCGAGAAAUGAAAAUUUCCCCGGAGGUCGUCGUUCCUCCGGAAAUUCUCGUGCCUGAAAUCAAAGUUUUCACAUCGGAAAUUUUCCAAGAUGCCGGCAAAAAUGAGAAGCACAAGGACCACGAGACGCACAAUGAACACGAGACGCACAAGGAACACGAGAAGCACAAGGAACACGAGAAGCACAAGGAACACGAGAAGAAAAAAGAGCCAAGUUCGGCGGAGGGGCCUGUGAUCGGGGUGGAGUUGUUCCCGGAGUUCAACCAGGUGACGAAGACGAAGAUCCUGAAGGCGCAGAAGAUCGAGAAGGAUGGGAACGUCAUAUUUCUGCCGGAGACGAGGAGCAAGGAACACAAGGAUGAAAAGGAGGAGACACUGGAGGUGGAGGUGCACGUGACGACGUUCAAUUGCACGAAGAGGGACACUCCAGAGAACGAGCGAGUAGGAAAGAUCGACCUGAAGGAGCUACACAAGGGCGAGACGUGGCCCCAUCUCACUUACCUCAAGCUCAUACCGCUCUCUGAGUCCUUCGAGCAGGAGCUCCAGGAGCGAGAUAAGUCCGAGGAGGUGGCUGAGCUCCUCAAAGCCAACGCCACUGCGGACAUCAAGCCCAUCAAUCAGACUGAAGCUGGAGAAUAGUACAAACUUGUAAAUAUAGUUAAAAUUAAUUUAAAUUAAAUCGAUAAAAUAUAUAUGUAAAUAUACUAAUUUAUUCUGCAAAUAUUUUGUAUUCAUUGUUUUGAAAAGGAUGUCCUUCCAUGGGUGUCGAACAAUUGGAUUUUUAUAAAUUUCUAGCAAAAAGCCAUUACACUGUGUUG